GAGAUUUUAUAAGUAAAGUUCAGAAUUUAUUAUUGUGAUAUUUAUCUUCAUGACCAUGAAAAUUCAGUAUAAAUGCAGGAAUUCACCCGUUUCUGAAAGCAGUGAGUCAAAAAUCGUUGAACAUACACAACCAACAGUAGUACUGCAAUAUCCGAUACAAAAAUCUAAGGAACCCAUAAUUACAAAAUGUCGAAAGUAAUAUUCGCAUUCAUUGCAUUACUCAUCAUUAUUGUCAUGAUGGAGAAGACUGCCGAGGCUUGCGUCGCAAUAUUGGGCUCGUGUACCAAUCAUGACGAUUGCUGUUCAGAGUGGUGUGCACAUUCAAUUUUCUUCGGCAUUCGAUACUGCAGUUUCAAGACAAAGUAAAAUUUUGAUUCAAAUUAAAUGCCGGGAUGAAUUACACUAAUUUCAUUCAUUUAAUUAGUAGUUGUAUUAGAACAAAUUGUAUCCUUGUUAACUUGUAAUAAAUCAAUUACUAUAAAACUUA
Molecule: long non-coding RNA, 487 nt
Organism: Microplitis mediator
Lineage: Eukaryota; Metazoa; Arthropoda; Insecta; Hymenoptera; Braconidae
Exons: 3
Source: RefSeq, a predicted model, not a curated record